Long non-coding RNA from Megalobrama amblycephala (Wuchang bream), 5327 nucleotides. RefSeq lists it as uncharacterized. The transcript has 2 exons. NCBI's taxonomy places the organism in Eukaryota, Metazoa, Chordata, Actinopteri, Cypriniformes, Xenocyprididae. The record is from RefSeq and is a predicted model, not a curated record.
ACACACACACACACACACACACACACACACACACACAGGACAAACUAUGCACACAUUAAUGAAUUCUCCCUCAAACGCAAAAACCGUGUUCAGCUCACUCUAUCGCACCACACACACGGCAGCUCAGAAUGCAAGAAAUGCUGGCUGUUUAACUUCAGGGAAAUCAAACACACUCCUACACACACGGCGACUUAAGUGCUGGAAUCUGUACACAGAAGUACUAGAUAUCCAUACCAAAUGACCCUCCGGUCCAAAUCUCUCCUCUUAACUACACACCCCAUCGCAAUCCUGCCCUGGGCUGUAGAUAACGGCGCCGCCGUGACCCUUAACUCUGAGGGAUCAGACAGAUCUCUACACCUGGCAUGUACGGUCACAUCAGAGUAACUGUUUGUCUUCAGUUCUUGUCUUGAUUGGAGCGAUGACUCCAGUGAGACUGCCAGCAGACUCUUUACAAAUCUUGACAAAGCACAUCCCGCUGAGAAUCCGCCUACGGUCAGUCUCUGAGGUUAGUGGCGUGACACUAACUCCCUGCUAAUUUAUGUUUCUUGAGGAUUAUCGAUGUUGCAUAUGUGUGUCAGUGGGUAUUAAUUGUACUUUAGUGCUCUAUCAGAGAAUUCAGGGACAGUCAGCCAGACAUUAUCUCAAAAACACAAGAGACAAAUAAAUAAAAAAUAAUGAAGUGGAUUUGAGAUUUUAUAAUGAAAAGAAAGAGUGGAGAGAUGCGACAAGGAGUAAUUAUACAGUUAGAGGUCAUUAUUCAAAAUUAUUUAAUUGCAGAAUGCCUCGAUUGUCCAAUCAGAAUCAACAUCUUGAAGACAACAUCCAAUAAAAACAGAAUUUUUAAACCUUAAAUUCUGACUAAUACCAAUAAGCCUAUAAUUGUUUUCAUGUUAUGAUCAAUAAAAAAACAAAAAACACAAAAAAAUAUAUACUUCAAAAUUCCAAUUUCCUGAUAUUUUACUCACCUCCAGAUUUUCAUGUCUUCAGCUGAAAAUAAAUUAAGGUUUGUGAGGAAAAUAUUCCAGGAUUUUUCUCCAUAUAGUGGACUUCAACAGGGACCAAAGGGUUGAAGGUCCAGUUUCAGUGCAGCUUCAAAGAGCUCUACAUGAUCCCAGAUGCACAUCAACCCAAACCAUCGACCAUUUUCUAAAAAAUAAAAACUUGUAUACUUUUUAACCACAAAUGCUCGUCUUGCACUAGCUCUGCGAUGUGCCACGCAUUACGUAAUCACGUUUAAUGGCAUUUCAUGCAUUCUGAAUAUUUUACACUGUUAAAGAGUUUGAUUCUCAUGCAAACAGAGCAUUAGUAUUUCAUGUCAAAUAGACUCCUUCAGGGAUCGUAUAAUUUGUUUUUUUUGUGUAUGGCCCUGUAUGACAUCAUAAAGGGAUCAUCAACGUACUUCGUUCGGGUUAUUACGGAAGUUGUCCGCAGCGCUGCACUUGAGAAAGAUUUGUCAUUUUGUAUGUGUGAUAAAACUAAAGACUCUUUGGAGAUAUGAAGGAAGCACUACUACUCUAUAUAGGUACUCAAGAUUGACAAGAUUGGCAGAAACUGUGUGCGUUAUGCACCCUUUAACACAUUUCAACAUUAUUUCCCAAUACAUGUUCUGUUUUGCAAAAGACCAAUGCGAAUUGAAAUGCUGUUUUGGCUUCGUUUUUCAUAGCAAGGAAACAUAUUGAAUCACUAUCCAAACAACCCUUCAGGCACGGCAUGCCUAAAACACAGAAUCUCAUUGGUUCCUCAUGAACGCUGAUCCAGGGUCAGCCAUGCUGUAAAAAUACCGCAGUGCCGCUCCGCUGUCAGACAGUCCGGCCUCUCAUUGAUCUUACUCGGACUACAGAGGAACACCGGUAUGUCUCCAAACCCUUUGACAGGCCGCUCUUUUCCCAGAAUGACUUUUGACCCUCAAAGGCUAGACCGGGCAAACACCACCUGCUCCUCCGUGAUCAACACACUGCUGGACUAGAAUAAACACACAAACGAGCAAAUACGCUCUCAUCUUAUGAGCUCAAGAAUGCAGGAAGGGUCAGACGCUCAUGCCUGCAUAUAAACAUGGGCACAUGCGCAGAGAUGUCCAAUGGAACCAGGGACAUUUCUAAAGGCAGAGGAGGGGUCAGUGCUGGUGUCUCUGUGUGGGUCACCGUGAGGACCAGACACACAUCCACAGGGGGCAAGACCCUUCACGACACGCAGACGGCCUCAUGCCUGGUGGGCCGCCAAAGGACAACCAUUCACAACUGCCACCGCCACGUCCACAAACACUUCAGCCGAGACACCUGAACCUGUUUGUACUGCCACAGCCAAGCUAUUUCAUGUUCCAAUGUCAGAAGCACCACAAAUGAAGUUAUUUUUGUAAUAUUACUGUCUGAAGUGUUUUUCAUAUUCUUCUUUUGCAAUUAUAGUUGCAUCUCAUCUCUCCACCAAAACAAAACAUUCAGGACUACAUCUGGAUUGUUAAUAAAAAGCUCACAGGCUCAAAAAUAAGCUGUUUUUCUUCAUGCACAUGCAAAGUAGUUUUUACAUUACCUGACAUCUUUUUCUCUAGCCAAGCCACAAAAGUUCAAAAGUGUUUCUUUUAUAAAAGACAAAACACCACGAUCUGGUAAAUGGUACAGUUAGAAUGCAACUCAUGCAAUUCAUAAUAAACACACUUUUGCUGGAAAAUAAUAGACAUACGAUGCAGAACAUCACUGACUGCCAGAGCCAGUCUUGUUGAAUUUUAUCUUCGUUGAAGACUAUCUUUGGGACAAAGCAGCAGAAUUUGCAACAACAAUGCAGAAAACAUCACAAAAAGCAAGUUUCAAUCAGCAAAAAAUUGCAAAAAUACACAAAAUGUCCAUCAACACAAGCAUCAACAGCCAAUGAAAAGCAUUAAGUGAUUGUGAAUGAUGUCUGUUUCCUGUGCUGUCCAUCUUGAUCUAGUCUGCACCGGAUCAGCUGGGAAUUUCCCACAGAGCUAGUAAGGAAUCCGAUCACAGCAUCCCAGAGAAACAAAACAAUCUGUUUGGAUUUCCUCCAUCCUUGUAGGGCAGGAAGUGAGGAAAAUUGUGCUAGCGGACAGAUGAAAGGAAGAGGUGGAGCCGGACUGAUUUACAAUAUCCCCCAACUCAACUCAGACCUAAAAAACGGAGUGCAUUCUUCUCGUAUGUAUACGAAACCACAUGGUGAUGCACUUAUAAGGAUGUUGAAAUUUACCUGUUCUCCUGAGACUUGCUGGAAUAUCUGCAGAGCGACAAACACACUUCACAUAACGUGAUAACGUGACCCCCCUCUUUCCCCAAACCUCUCCUAAUGAGGCACAGUGGGACUGGAAUUCACAGACCCGAUUCUGCGAAGACUCCUACCUGCCUGUUCACCAGAUGGGCUACAGACAGAGUAAUGGUGGGCAGAUCAUGCACUGCGUGAAAUAAAAUAACUUUACCACCCGAGCCAAAUGCUUUAGUCAUUGUGAAAAAUAGCCAAAAGAUGGUAUUCUUAAAAUGAACUUGACAGGAACAAGGUAAACCAUUUUGGGCAGGUUUCCCAGACAAAGAUUAAGCAAAGUCCUAGACUAAAAUGAUGAUUUUAGCAAGAAAAUCUAUCAUAAUCCAGUGUCGCACUUUAACUGCAUCUAGAAAACCAGUUAUGAAGUGUAAUUUGUAAUGCAGAAGCCUUAAAGUUGCUUGAGUCUAGACAAUUCCUCAGAGUAGGGGUGGGCGAUAAACGAUAUCAUAUGGAGAAGUAAAUUUACAUUGAUAACGAUGAUGGACAUUUUUACUUGAUAUGGAUUAAUCUAACUUCACAAGCUUUUCACCGUUUCAUUUGAGAAAAACUACCUUGAAACACACUGAAACAAACUUAGAUCUUUAUGACAAACUGUCAAAUAUAUUUUCUUCAAAUUAAGCCGAAGUUUUGACAAAUAUAUCACUACUGUAUACUAAAAUGUACUUCUCAAAGUAAUAAUUAUAUUAUAUUGAGAUAUUUUUUCAUCAAAGUUUUAAAUCGAUACGGUUUUGUUGUGCAGCAUCUUAUUUGACAAAAAUUAAAAAUGCAAUGUUUUGUUGUAAAUUGAUUGAAAUUUUUCAUUCGAUUACAUUUUUAAAGCUUGACUAAAUCAUAAAACACUGAAAACAAAGUAUUUGGGGGAAAAUACAAAGGAUUUAAUCGGGCCCUAAAUUAAAACGUAGUUACUCUGUGGAGUUUAAUUAAGAAAAAACAAGUUUACAUGUUUACAUUCAUUCUCAAGGUCUAACAAAUAUUUCUUUACCCAUUAAUUUUAAAUGAGUAUCGUGAUAAAUAUCGAAGUCUCAAAGUCAAGAAGGAUGCACACAAAAAUAAACAUUCUAAUAUAUUUAGAUGGUCUUCUCCCAACAUUUUCCUCCUAAACCAUGUGCCAAAUGAGACCCAUGUGUGAUCUAAACAGAGCAUAAAUCUUACAUUAAAUGAAAAAAAACUUGCCAAAUCAUAGAUCUUGUAUUUUUAGCAUUUGUGCCAAGCAUCUACCAAAUAUGAAACCUUUUGGUCUGGGGACGUUCACUAUAGAGGCCUUCUAAACGGCUGCGGUGGCCAUUUAUUGACCACAGAGCAUUGAUAAGAUUGCUUCUUCCCCAGAGGGUUGAAGUUUAAUUAAAAAAUCUGAAGCAUCACUUCCUCUCCUUGGUGUUACAACACUCCCUAGAGAACAACAGAGCCAGCUCAGUCACCGUGAGUCAUUAUGCACAGUAUCCAUCUUUCACUUCCUAAAACUUACUGAGGUUUAAUCAUAUUAGUCAAUAACAGGUGAGUCAAAGUUCAACGGAUUGUCUUACUAAAGGGCAAAGCGGUUUUUGGGAUAGGCAAUGAUAAAGCAGAUAUCUCAAAAAAACUACAUUGCUUUGAAUUAUAUACUUCAAUGGCGGUUUAUCGGGCUACUAAUUAGCUUAAUUUUUAGCACUGCUAAACUCAUGAUGAUUGACAGCGAUAAUCACAACGUUUCAAUGUCCUACAGGUGUAAACAUGAAACAUAGCUGUUAAUAGUUUAACUCUUUUGGUGCAAGCCAUUUUUGACUAAAUUAACAUUUGGAUUCAAAGAUGUAGCUACUUAAUGACUGUAUCAGACUACUAAUUAGCUCAUACUAACACUGUUAAAUUUGCAAAGACAGUAAUAACCAUAGCAACAAUUCAGUUCUCUGCAAGUGUAAACAAGAAACACAUUUGCUAACAUUUUAAAUCCUUUGGCUAUUUUUGGACAAAAUAAUAUUUGCACCCAGAGACGUAGCUUUGAUUUGACUACUUGGCUGUUUAUAAGACUACUAAUUAACUCAGUUAAUUUAAAAAAAAAAAAAAAAAAAACUCUCAAAGAUUGAGAC